GCAAGUAGAACGCAGAGGUCAGGUGCUUGCACUGGACUGAUGAGUUGCGAACGGGUGAGUAACGCGUAGGUAACCUACCUGAUAGCGGGGGAUAACUAUUGGAAACGAUAGCUAAUACCGCAUAAAAGCCAAUGACCCAUGUCAUUGGCUUGAAAGAAGCAAACGCUUCACUAUGAGAUGGACCUGCGUUGUAUUAGCUAGUUGGUAGGGUAAAGGCCUACCAAGGCGACGAUACAUAGCCGACCUGAGAGGGUGAACGGCCACACUGGGACUGAGACACGGCCCAGACUCCUACGGGAGGCAGCAGUAGGGAAUCUUCGGCAAUGGGGGGAACCCUGACCGAGCAACGCCGCGUGAGUGAAGAAGGUUUUCGGAUCGUAAAGCUCUGUUGUUAGAGAAGAACAGUGAUGGGAGUGGAAAGUCCAUCAUUUGACGGUAACUAACCAGAAAGGGACGGCUAACUACGUGCCAGCAGCCGCGGUAAAAGUAGGUCCCGAGCGUUGUCCGGAUUUAUUGGGCGUAAAGCGAGCGCAGGCGGUUUGAUAAGUCUGAAGUUAAAGGCAGUGGCUUAACCAUUGUAUGCUUUGGAAACUGUUAAACUUGAGUGCAGAAGGGGACAGUGGAAUUCCAUGUGUAGCGGUGAAAUGCGUAUAUAUAUGGAGGAACACCGGUGGCGAAAGCGGCUCUCUGGUCUGUAACUGACGCUGAGGCUCGAAAGCAUGGGGGAGCAAACACGAUUAGAUACCCCUGGUAGUCCAACCCCGUAAACGCCUGAUUGCUCCGUGUUAGG
RNAcentral lists this ribosomal RNA (790 nucleotides) under Streptococcus equi subsp. ruminatorum. RNAcentral's name for it is "bacterial SSU rRNA". It matches the Rfam family "Bacterial small subunit ribosomal RNA", at positions 57 to 827 of the family's 1533-position model. The record is from RNAcentral. Lineage: Bacteria; Bacillati; Bacillota; Bacilli; Lactobacillales; Streptococcaceae.